This is a non-coding RNA of Pelobates cultripes (western spadefoot toad), 761 nucleotides long. Lineage: Eukaryota; Metazoa; Chordata; Amphibia; Anura; Pelobatidae. The record is from the annotation of a GenBank genome assembly.
CCAGAGCCGGGCGGGAGGGGGUCCCUGAGGGUGGGGGCACCCUCAGGGCACUAUAGUGCCAGGAAAAUGAGUAUGUUUUCCUGGCACUAUAGUGGUCCUUUAAGGGACCACGAAACACUGGACUGUGGAUACAUAUUUUUUUUGUAUUUUGGCAACAAUACCAAAGAUACGGUUAUAUACCUUGAUAGUCUAUAUCCACCACUGUGAGGGUUGAAAAUAGACUUUGUACUUAAGUACACAAGCACUUUUUAUGUUAUUCCCCUUUUUGACAACAUUUAGGGGUAGACUUUUCAGCGCUGACACUUUCUUUUCCAUAUCUUAUUUCCAGCACCAGCAGGCGCUGGCUCUAUCCUGACCCACCUCCUUGCUGGCAUCAUCAAAAUUUAGGAUUACAGCCAAACAAAUGUUCCAUAGAGAUAGCAUUCGAUUGGCUGAAAUAGGCAAUGAGGCAGAACGUGGGCAGGGCCAAGUGCCAUCUUGGUCAAUCGGCACCUCCUCAUAAAGAUGCAUUGAAUCAAUGCAUCUCUGUGAGGAAACUUAACGUCUCAAGUUCCACUAUGUACACUGUGCAGCACUGCCCCAGAAAGUACCUCCAGUGGCCAUUUGGAGGUGUCCCUAGCGGGCAAUGUAAACACUGCUUUUUCUAUGAAAAGGCAGUGUUUACAUGAAAAUACCUGCAGGGAAUGAUUAUACUCACCAGAACUACAUUAAACUGUGAGGUUUUGCCUUGAUGCGGCAGGUGAUCUUACACUUUAAUGGCC